AUUUGUAUGAAUGGGAUAAAAUCCAAAGAAGUCAGUUCGGAUCCGUUUGUGAAAGAGUAGAAAAAGAAAGAUAGUGAAUCUUGUUUGAACCAUUAAUGAAAAAUAGAGGUUGGUACAAUAGUUAGCAAGUAAAAUGGGCUUUUUAUUGGGGAUAGAGGGACUUGACUUGAACCCUCACAAUUUAUAAAGUCGACGGAUUUUCCUCUUACUAUAAAUUU
Molecule: small RNA, 218 nt
Filed under: Oryza sativa Japonica Group (Japanese rice)
Lineage: Eukaryota; Viridiplantae; Streptophyta; Magnoliopsida; Poales; Poaceae
Description: sRNA Os05g0338450
Source: RNAcentral